RNA transcript from Sus scrofa (pig), 2663 nucleotides. It is a transcript of the gene named SPG7 matrix AAA peptidase subunit, paraplegin, with no coding region annotated. The record is from RefSeq and is a predicted model, not a curated record. NCBI's taxonomy places the organism in Eukaryota, Metazoa, Chordata, Mammalia, Artiodactyla, Suidae.
CGCUUCCGGGUCAACAUGGCGGCGCCGUGGCUGCUGCUACGCGCUCUCCGCCCGGGGCCAGGGCCCGGGCGGGGGCGACUGCGGGGCUGCUGCUCAGGCAGGAGCCCGGGCUGCUCCGCCGGGGUCGGGUGGAGGUGGCUGUACGUGGUCCACAGGCCUCCAGUGGGUUGUGUCGGGCCUGGAAGCCGAGUCCUGCAGAGUUUCCAGUUGCGACUCCUAACCCCCACCUUUGGCGGGAUCAGCAUGUUGUUGGUGAAACAGCAUCUAGUCCAGAAUCCAGUAGGACUCUGGAAACUUUUAGGAGGCGCGGACUAUUUUAAGACCCCGAGGAGGCAGCAGAAGGCUCCCGGUGGUGAUAAACCGCAGGGGAGGCCCUCGGAAGACGAUGAAGAGGAGCGGCGGCGCCGGGAGCGGGAGGACCAGAUGUACCGGGAGCGGCUGCGUACGCUCUUCGUCAUCGCCGUGGUCAUGAGCCUUCUCAACGCGCUUGGCUCCAGCGGCGGCAACAUCUCCUGGAACGACUUUGUGCACGAGAUGCUGGCCAAGGGCGAGGUGCAGCGGGUGCAGGUGGUGCCGGAGAGCGACGUGGUGGAGGUGUACCUGCACCCCGGAGCCGUGGUGUUCGGCCGGCCUCGGCUGGCCCUGAUGUACCGGAUGCAGGUGGCGAAUAUCGACAGGUUCGAGGAGAAGCUUCGGGCGGCCGAGGACGAGCUCAACAUCGGCGGCCAGGACCGGAUCCCCGUGUCCUACAGGCGGACAGGCUUCUUUGGCAAUGCCCUCUACGCCUUGGGGAUGACCGCCGUGGGCCUGGCCAUCCUGUGGUAUGUCUUCCGUCUGGCCGGAAUGACAGGAAGGGAAGGUGGAUUCAGUGCCUUUAAUCAGCUUAAAAUGGCUCGUUUCACAAUCGUGGACGGCAAGAUGGGGAAGGGGGUCAGCUUCAAGGACGUGGCGGGAAUGCACGAGGCCAAGCUGGAGGUCAAGGAGUUCGUGGAUUAUCUGAAGAGUCCCGAGCGCUUCCUCCAGCUUGGCGCCAAGGUCCCCAAGGGUGCACUGCUGCUCGGCCCCCCAGGCUGCGGGAAGACGCUGCUGGCCAAGGCGGUGGCCACGGAGGCCCAGGUGCCCUUCCUGGCAAUGGCCGGCUCGGAGUUCGUGGAGGUCAUCGGAGGCCUCGGCGCAGCCCGUGUGCGGAGUCUCUUCAGGGAGGCCCGGGCCCGGGCCCCGUGCAUCGUGUACAUCGACGAGAUCGACGCUGUGGGCAAGAAACGCGCCAGCACCAUGUCCGGCUUCUCCAACACGGAGGAGGAGCAGACGCUGAACCAGCUGCUGGUGGAGAUGGACGGAAUGGGCACCACCGACCACGUCAUUGUCCUGGCGUCCACCAACCGAGCUGACAUUCUGGACGCCGCUCUGCUGCGGCCAGGCCGACUGGACCGGCACGUGUUCAUCGACCUCCCUACGCUGCAGGAGAGGAGGGAGAUCUUCGAGCAGCACCUGAAGAGCCUGAAGCUGACGCAGGCCAGCAGCUUCUACUCCCAGCGUCUGGCUGAGCUGACGCCUGGCUUCAGUGGUGCCGACAUCGCCAACAUCUGUAACGAGGCCGCGCUGCACGCCGCGCGGGAGGGGCACCCGGCUGUGCACACGUCCAACCUGGAGUACGCCGUGGAGCGCGUGGUGGCCGGUCCUGCCAAGAAGAGCCAGGUCCUCUCCAGGGAGGAGCAGAAGGUGGUCGCCUUCCACGAGUCGGGCCACGCGCUGGUCGGCUGGCUGCUGGAGCACACGGAGGCCGUGAUGAAGGUGUCCAUCACGCCGCGGACAAACGCAGCCCUGGGCUUCGCGCAGAUGCUCCCGAGAGACCAGCACCUGUUCACCAGGGAGCAGCUGUUUGAGCGGAUGUGUAUGGCCCUGGGCGGCCGGGCAGCCGAGUCCAUCUCCUUCAACAGAGUGACUUCGGUGUUGGGGAUGUUCCCGGGCCAGGGAUCGAACCUGUGCCACAGUGGUGACCGUGCUGGAUCCCUAACCCGCUGAGUCCCUAGGGCACUCCAGGAGCACCUGUUAAAGUGUCAGGCCCAGGUACAGGAAGUGAGGUCCCGGGAAAGAACCGGCUCCUGCUGAUCCCCUGCAGGGGCCCAGGACGACCUGCGCAAGGUCACCCGCAUCGCCUACUCCAUGGUGAAGCAGUUCGGGAUGGCGCCCAGCGUCGGGCCCGUCUCCUUCCCCGAGGCGCAGGAGGGCCUCUCGGGCGUCGGGCGGCGUCCCUUCAGCCAGGGCCUCCAGCAGAUGAUGGACCACGAGGCACGGCUGCUGGUGGCCACGGCCUACAGACACACGGAGAAGGUGCUGCGGGACAACCUGGACAAGCUGCAGGCGCUGGCAGGCGCCCUGCUGGAGAGGGAAGUCAUCAGCUACGAGGACAUUGAGGCCCUCAUCGGCCCCCCGCCCCACGGGCCCAAGAAGAAGAUCGCGCCCCAGAGGUGGGGUGACGCCGACAGGGAGAGGCAGGACACCCUUCGCGGGGAGCAGCCCUGGCCCCAGUAGCUGGACUGCCCCCUGCUGGCCCCGGUCCUCACCCGGGUCCCCUCAGCCGUGCUGGUCUCUGAUGUCUAUUUAUUGAAACUCCCCCCAACCCCCCUGCCCCCCACGAAGAGUAAAUGUCUCUGCAGGGA